Molecule: ribosomal RNA, 497 nt
Filed under: uncultured bacterium
Lineage: Bacteria
Description: partial 16S ribosomal RNA
Rfam family: Bacterial small subunit ribosomal RNA
Source: RNAcentral
GAUGAACGCUGGCGGCGUGCCUAAUACAUGCAAGUCGAGCGAACAGACGAGGAGCUUGCUCCUCUGACGUUAGCGGCGGACGGGUGAGUAACACGUGGAUAACCUACCUAUAAGACUGGGAUAACUUCGGGAAACCGGAGCUAAUACCGGAUAAUAUAUUGAACCGCAUGGUUCAAUAGUGAAAGACGGUUUUGCUGUCACUUAUAGAUGGAUCCGCGCCGCAUUAGCUAGUUGGUAAGGUAACGGCUUACCAAGGCAACGAUGCGUAGCCGACCUGAGAGGGUGGUCGGCCACACUGGAACUGAGGCACGGUCCAGACUCCUACGGGGGGCAGCAGUAGGGAAUCUUCCGCAAUGGGGGAAAGCCUAACGGAGCAACGCCGCGUGAGGGAUGAGGGUCUUCGGAUCGUAAAACUCUGUUAUUAGGAAAGAACAAAUGUGGAAGUAACUGUGCACGUCUUGACGGUACCUGAUCAGAAAGCCACGGCUAACUACGUG